This 253-nucleotide ribosomal RNA is filed under the name uncultured Rikenellaceae bacterium. RNAcentral's name for it is "partial 16S ribosomal RNA". It matches the Rfam family "Bacterial small subunit ribosomal RNA", at positions 524 to 776 of the family's 1533-position model. The record is from RNAcentral. Lineage: Bacteria; Pseudomonadati; Bacteroidota; Bacteroidia; Bacteroidales; Rikenellaceae.
UAAGGAGGAUCCGAGCGUUAUCCGGAUUUAUUGGGUUUAAAGGGUGCGUAGGCGGUUUGAUAAGUUAGAGGUGAAAUGUCGGGGCUCAACCCCGAAACUGCCUCUAAUACUGUUGGACUAGAGAAUAGUUGCGGUAAGCGGAAUUCCUAGUGUAGCGGUGAAAUGCGUAGAUAUUAGGAGGAACACCAGUGGCGAAGGCGGCUUACUGGACUGUAACUGACACUGAGGCACGAAAGCGUGGGGAGCAAACAGG